GCCGAAGUGGCGGAACUGGUAGACGCGCAUGAUUCAGGUUCAUGUGGGCUACGCCUGUGGGGGUUCGACUCCCCCCUUCGGCACCA
RNAcentral lists this transfer RNA (86 nucleotides) under Nitrospinota bacterium. RNAcentral's name for it is "tRNA-Leu". It matches the Rfam family "tRNA". From Rfam's summary of the family: Transfer RNA (tRNA) molecules are approximately 80 nucleotides in length. Their secondary structure includes four short double-helical elements and three loops (D, anti-codon, and T loops). Lineage: Bacteria; Pseudomonadati; Nitrospinota. The record is from RNAcentral.